Molecule: ribosomal RNA, 872 nt
Filed under: Typhula quisquiliaris
Lineage: Eukaryota; Fungi; Basidiomycota; Agaricomycetes; Agaricales; Typhulaceae
Description: LSU rRNA
Rfam family: Eukaryotic large subunit ribosomal RNA
Source: RNAcentral
AAAAGAAACUAACAAGGAUUCCCCUAGUAACUGCGAGUGAAGCGGGAAAAGCUCAAAUUUAAAAUCUGAUGGUCCUCGCGGCCGUCCGAGUUGUAAUCUGGAGAAGUGUUUUCCGCGCUGGACCGUGUACAAGUCUCCUGGAACGGAGCGUCAUAGAGGGUGAGAAUCCCGUCUUUGACACGGACUGCCAGUGCUUUUGUGAUACGCUCUCAACGAGUCGAGUUGUUUGGGAAUGCAGCUCAAAAUGGGUGGUAAAUUCCAUCUAAAGCUAAAUAUUGGCGAGAGACCGAUAGCGAACAAGUACCGUGAGGGAAAGAUGAAAAGAACUUUGGAAAGAGAGUUAAACAGUACGUGAAAUUGUUAAAAGGGAAACGCUUGAAGUCAGUCSCGUCGUCCGGGGAUCAACCUUGCAUUUAUGCUGGGCGUACUUUCCGGUCGAUGGGUCAACAUCAGUUUCGACCGUCGGACAAAGUUCAGGGGAAUGUGGCAUCUUCGGGUGUGUUAUAGCCCUUGUUCGCAUGCGACGAUUGGGACUGAGGAACUCAGCACGCCUUUAUGGUCGGGGUUUACCCACGUAACGUGCUUAGGAUGUUGGCAUAAUGGCUUUAAUCGACCCGUCUUGAAACACGGACCAAGGAGUCUAACAUGCCCGCGAGUGUUUGGGUGGAAAACCCGAGCGCGAAAUGAAAGUGAAAGUUGAGAUCCCUGUCGUGGGGAGCAUCGACGCCCGGACCAGACGUUCUCUGACGGUUCCGCGGUAGAGCGUGUAUGUUGGGACCCGAAAGAUGGUGAACUAUGCCUGAAUAGGGUGAAGCCAGAGGAAACUCUGGUGGAGGCUCGUAGCGAUUCUGACGUGCAAAUCGAUCGUCGAA